AUGCAAGUCGGACGGGAUCCGUCGGAGAGCUUGCUCGAAGACGGUGAGAGUGGCGCACGGGUGCGUAACGCGUGAGCAACCUACCUCUAUCAGGGGGAUAGCCUCUCGAAAGAGAGAUUAACACCGCAUAACAUAUCUGACCGGCAUCGGUUGGCUAUUAAAUAUUUAUAGGAUAGAGAUGGGCUCGCGUGACAUUAGCUAGUUGGUAGGGUAACGGCUUACCAAGGCGACGAUGUCUAGGGGCUCUGAGAGGAGAAUCCCCCACACUGGUACUGAGACACGGACCAGACUCCUACGGGAGGCAGCAGUAAGGAAUAUUGGUCAAUGGGCGGAAGCCUGAACCAGCCAUGCCGCGUGCAGGAUGACUGCCCUAUGGGUUGUAAACUGCUUUUGUCCAGGAAUAAACCUUUCUACGUGUAGGAAGCUGAAUGUACUGGAAGAAUAAGGAUCGGCUAACUCCGUGCCAGCAGCCGCGGUAAUACGGAGGAUCCGAGCGUUAUCCGGAUUUAUUGGGUUUAAAGGGUGCGUAGGCGGCCUAUUAAGUCAGGGGUGAAAUACGGUGGCUCAACCAUCGCAGUGCCUUUGAUACUGAUGGGCUUGAAUCCAUUUGAAGUGGGCGGAAUAAGACAAGUAGCGGUGAAAUGCAUAGAUAUGUCUUAGAACUCCGAUUGCGAAGGCAGCUCACUAAGCUGGUAUUGACGCUGAUGCACGAAAGCGUGGGGAUCGAACAGGAUUAGAUACCCUGGUAGUCCACGCCCUAAACGAUGAUAACUCGAUGUUGGCGAUAGACAGCCAGCGUCCAAGCGAAAGCGUUAAGUUAUCCACCUGGGGAGUACGCCCGCAAGGGUGAAACUCAAAGGAAUUGACGGGGGCCCGCACAAGCGGAGGAGCAUGUGGUUUAAUUCGAUGAUACGCGAGGAACCUUACCCGGGCUUGAAAGUUAGUGAAGAAUGCAGAGACGCAUUCGUCCUUCGGGACACGAAACUAGGUGCUGCAUGGCUGUCGUCAGCUCGUGCCGUGAGGUGUUGGGUUAAGUCCCGCAACGAGCGCAACCCCUAUGUUUAGUUGCCAGCAUGUAAUGGUGGGGACUCUAAACAGACUGCCUGUGCAAACAGUGAGGAAGGUGGGGACGACGUCAAGUCAUCAUGGCCCUUACGUCCGGGGCUACACACGUGCUACAAUGGAUGGUACAGCGGGCAGCUACAUAGCAAUAUGAUGCUAAUCUCUAAAAGCCAUUCACAGUUCGGAUUGGGGUCUGCAACUCGACCCCAUGAAGUUGGAUUCGCUAGUAAUCGCGUAUCAGCAAUGACGCGGUGAAUACGUUCCCGGGCCUUGUACA
RNAcentral lists this ribosomal RNA (1339 nucleotides) under Sphingobacterium siyangense subsp. cladoniae. Its description in RNAcentral is "bacterial SSU rRNA". It matches the Rfam family "Bacterial small subunit ribosomal RNA", at positions 55 to 1387 of the family's 1533-position model. Lineage: Bacteria; Pseudomonadati; Bacteroidota; Sphingobacteriia; Sphingobacteriales; Sphingobacteriaceae. The record is from RNAcentral.